AGAGCGAACGCUGGCGGCAGGCUUAACACAUGCAAGUCGAGCGGGCGUAGCAAUACGUCAGCGGCAGACGGGUGAGUAACGCGUGGGAACGUACCUUUUGGUUCGGAACAACACAGGGAAACUUGUGCUAAUACCGGAUAAGCCCUUACGGGGAAAGAUUUAUCGCCGAAAGAUCGGCCCGCGUCUGAUUAGCUAGUUGGUGAGGUAACGGCUCACCAAGGCGACGAUCAGUAGCUGGUCUGAGAGGAUGAUCAGCCACAUUGGGACUGAGACACGGCCCAAACUCCUACGGGAGGCAGCAGUGGGGAAUAUUGGACAAUGGGCGCAAGCCUGAUCCAGCCAUGCCGCGUGAGUGAUGAAGGCCCUAGGGUUGUAAAGCUCUUUUGUGCGGGAAGAUAAUGACGGUACCGCAAGAAUAAGCCCGGCUAACUUCGUGCCAGCAGCCGC
Molecule: ribosomal RNA, 447 nt
Filed under: uncultured bacterium
Lineage: Bacteria
Description: SSU rRNA
Rfam family: Bacterial small subunit ribosomal RNA
Source: RNAcentral